CUUUGAAUUAAGUUUGGUUUGACUUUGCUGCACAGUAACAACCUGCAUGUUUCCACACCUAUCUGUAUGUGGGCACAGAGAAGUAGCAGAGAGGAUUGCUCCUGUACUCGCAAUAGAAGGCUCUCUAGGAUGUACACUGCAUGGUUUGGUCACUCCCAAGAAGACGGAAGACUGGAAGAAAAACAACAACAAAACCCCAAGCAGAAUAGCAGAAGGUUGGCUGACAAGGUCGCUAAUGAGUACCAGGCUGCUGGCAUUGCUUUAUUUAUUUAUUAGAAAGAGAAGAGCAGUGAAGCAUUUAAAACAGUCACAUACAAGGAGCCAUACAAUUUUUUGCAGUGACACACAGUGAGACAGAAAUAAAGUUGGGUCAAGACACA
Molecule: long non-coding RNA, 380 nt
Organism: Anser brachyrhynchus (Pink-footed goose)
Lineage: Eukaryota; Metazoa; Chordata; Aves; Anseriformes; Anatidae
Source: Ensembl